Molecule: ribosomal RNA, 253 nt
Filed under: uncultured bacterium
Lineage: Bacteria
Description: partial 16S ribosomal RNA
Rfam family: Archaeal small subunit ribosomal RNA
Source: RNAcentral
UACCAGCACCCCGAGUGGUCGGGACGUUUAUUGGGCCUAAAGCAUCCGUAGCCGGUUCUACAAGUCUUCCGUUAAAUCCAGCUGCUUAACAGAUGGGCUGCGGAAGAUACUAUGGAGCUAGGAGGCGGGAGAGGCAAGCGGUACUCGAUGGGUAGGGGUAAAAUCCGUUGAUCCAUUGAAGACCACCAGUGGCGAAGGCGGCUUGCCAGAACGCGCUCGACGGUGAGGGAUGAAAGCUAGGGGAGCGAAUGGG